CCUANGGGAGGCUGCAGUGGGGAAUAUUCCGCAAUGGGUUAACGCCUGACGGAGCGACGCCGCGUGGAUGAUGAAGGUCUUCGGAUCGUAAAGUCCUGUAGAGUGGGAAGAUGGGUCAUCGUAAGAUGACUUGACAGUACCGCUAAAGUAAGCUACGGCAAACUCUGUGCCAGCAGCCGCGGUAAUACAGAGGUAGCAAGCGUUGUUCGGAAUGACUGGGUGUAAAGCGCAUGUAGGCGGUUUUGUAAGUUGAAUGUGAAAUACUUUGGCUCAACCAAAGAAAGGCAUUCAAAACUGCAUUACUUGAGUACGGAAGAGGAAAGUGGAAUUUCUGGUGUAGCGGUGAAAUGCGUAGAUAUCAGAAGGAACACCAGUGGCGAAGGCGACUUUCUGGUCCGUAACUGACGCUGAGAUGCGAAAGCUAGGGGAGCAAACAGGAUUAGAUACCCCGNUANUC
RNAcentral lists this ribosomal RNA (457 nucleotides) under uncultured bacterium. RNAcentral's name for it is "bacterial SSU rRNA". It matches the Rfam family "Bacterial small subunit ribosomal RNA", at positions 338 to 795 of the family's 1533-position model. The record is from RNAcentral.